RNAcentral lists this ribosomal RNA (265 nucleotides) under uncultured Lactobacillales bacterium. RNAcentral's name for it is "partial 16S ribosomal RNA". It matches the Rfam family "Bacterial small subunit ribosomal RNA", at positions 81 to 339 of the family's 1533-position model. Lineage: Bacteria; Bacillati; Bacillota; Bacilli; Lactobacillales. The record is from RNAcentral.
CACCUUUCAAGCGAGUGGCGAACGGGUGAGUAACACGUGGAUAACCUGCCUCAAGGCUGGGGAUAACAUUUGGAAACAGAUGCUAAUACCGCAUAAAACCUAGCACCGCAUGGUGCAAGGUUGAAAGAUGGUUUCGGCUAUCACUUUAGGAUGGUCCCGCGGUGCAUUAGCUAGUUGGUAAGGUAAUGGCUUACCAAGGCGAUGAUGCAUAGCCGAGUUGAGAGACUGAUCGGCCACAAUGGGACUGAGACACGGCCCAGACUCC